AUGACUAUAGAAACAGCGCCAAAAAGCAACAUCGUAAUCUAUGAAAGAAGAAGAAUCAACCAGGAAGAGAAGCGGAAGAUAAGAGGGAAGCAGCAAGACAAGAAAAGCACCCAAACAGAAAAAACGUUACCAAUACACAGAAGCAUGAGCUGGCAACGGUAUCUCUUCUUUACAUACCCACAUAUGUACAUAUUCAGGCAUCAAAAGCUGCCAUGAGGAAGAAGAAGAGGAGCAAGAAGCGGGCUAGAAAACGAGGAAGAAACAGUAGGCGAAGUGGAGAGCGAAGUGCAAUGGCAACAACAAAGUAAAACAACAACAAACUCAGGAGAUAAAGUGGGAAGCAAAGAUGCCUGUUUUUCUUACUUGCGACUAUGUGUGCGUGUGUAUUCAAUGCAGCAGCGGCAACCAAAACAACAAUCGAAGUACAGUGAACCGAGAGACUCGAAAAAGAUGUAAAAACACAAGUAUGCAAGAGUUAAACAAUUCUUAAAGUUAACUGGGGUGCUGAGGGAGAAAUGUAACUUCUUAACAGAGUAACAGUGAUUUGUAAUACACACUAUUUGGAAUAAAUACGCGUGUACUAUUAAUAUUGUUUUUAAUU
This is a non-coding RNA of Drosophila melanogaster (fruit fly), 601 nucleotides long. The record is from Ensembl. NCBI's taxonomy places the organism in Eukaryota, Metazoa, Arthropoda, Insecta, Diptera, Drosophilidae.